UGUUUUGACAUGUCCAGCCAACCAACCAUCUGCAGCUACAAACUCCCCGCUGAGAAACUGGCAAGACACAAAGAAAUGGAAAUCAACAAAGGAGUCGCUCUGUAAGCACAAGAGCUUCCGGCAGCCUCACUGACCGGAGACCAUAUCCCCUUCAGAAACCAGUUGAAAACAGGACUAUUUAUAAUGAACACGAAAUGAAAAGCAUGCUGUAGUAGUGACCCAGAAGGAAUGUGGCUUCUUCUCCAGGACUCAGAGACCCGUAGAUGGACUGUGCUUCUAGAUUUUACCUCCAACUUCUCUGAGAGGAACAGGUCAAAAUGAGCAGGAGACACAUGAGUGUGGUUCAGCAAACGUGGGCUCUUCUCUGCAAGAAUUGUCUUAAGAAGUGGAGGACGAGAGGAGCCACCUUCUUGGAAUGGUUUUUCUCAUUUCUUGUGGUCCUGUUUGUAUACCUAAGAUCCUGGAACCUACAUCAAGUUUAUGACUAUCAUGACAUUCCUGCAAUGGAUCUGGGACGUGUAGACCACUUUAAUUAUUCUGAUUACGUUAUCGCUUUCACACCUAAAUCCAAAACUACCAAAGAGAUAAUGGACAAAGUGGCUUCAGCCCCGUUCAUGACAGGAAGAACAAUCAAGGGGCGGCCUGAUGAAAAAGGCAUGGAUGAACUGGAUGUAGACUCCUUUAUAGAUGUUGUGAAAGUCAUCUUUACUGAUUCCUUCUCAUAUCAUCUGAAGUUUGAUUGGGAAUAUAGAAUGCCCAAGAUUAAAGAACACAGAGACCAUUCAGCUCACUGUGACAUAAUGAAUGAAGAAAUCACAUGUGAAUCUUUAGUGUUCUGGGAGAAAGGCUUUGUAGCUUUUCAAGCUGCCAUCAAUGCUGCUAUCAUAGAAAUUACAACAAAUCAUUCAGUGAUGGAACAGCUGAUGUCAGUUACUGGUAUAAAUAUGAAGAUAUUUCCUUUUAUUGCCCAAGGAGGAGUUGCAACUGAUAUUUUGAUUUUCUUCUGUGUUAUGUCUUUUUCUGCAUUUAUAUACUAUGCCUCAGUUAAUGUUGCACAAGAAAGACAAUACAUCACGUCGCUGAUGACAGUGAUGGGACUUCGCGAGUCGGCAUUCUGGCUCUCCUGGGGUUUGAUGUACGCCGGCUUCAUUCUUGUUAUGGCCACAGCGAUGGCUGUUAUUGUGAAAUCUGCACAAGUCGUGGUCCUCACCGGUUCUGCCGUGGUCUUCCUCCUCUUUCUCCUCUAUGGCCUGUCUUUGAUAACUUUAGCUUUCCUGAUGGGCGUGCUGAUCAAGAAACCUUUCCUCUCGGGCUUGGUUGUCUUUCUCCUUAUUGUCUUUUGGGGAUCCCUGGGACUCACAGCCUUGUACUCACAUCUUCCUGCAUUUUGUGAAUGGACCUUGUGUCUUCUGAGCCCCUUUGCCUUCACUGUGGGAAUGGCCCAGCUUAUACAUUUGGACUAUGAUGUGAAUGCUGAUGCCCAUUUGAAUUCUUUGACCAACCCACACCUCAUCCUAGCGACCUUUUUCAUGCUGGCUUUUGAUACUCUUCUCUACCUGGCAUUGACAUUGUAUUUUGACAAAGUUUUGCCCACUGAGUACGGACAUCGACGUUCUCCCUUGUUUUUCCUGAAAUCUUUUUGGUUUCAACACCGAAGACCUGAUCACGUGGCCCUUGAGAAUGAAAUGGAUUCUUACCCUUUGUCUGAUGACUCUUUUGAACCAGUAUCUCCAGAAUUCUAUGGCAAAGAAGGCAUCAGAAUCAAAAAUCUUAAAAAAGGAUAUGCAGGAAAGCUUGAAAAAAUAGAAGCUUUGAAAGGUUCGGUCACGAUCUAUAAUCACACGCUUUCAGAAAUGAGGGACUUGGAGACUGUCAGAAAGCUCACUGGAGUUUGUCCACAGACCAACGUGCAGUUUGGCUUUCUGACUGUGAAAGAAAACCUCAGACUGUUUGCUAAAAUCAAAGGGAUUCUGCCACACGAGGUGGAGCAACAGGUACAACAAGUUUUACGGGACUUAGACAUAGAAAAUGUUCAAGACACUCUUGCUCAAAAUUUAAGUGGUGGACAAAGUAGGAAACUCACUUUGGGGACUGCCAUUUUAGGAGAUCCUCAGGUUCUGCUGCUGGAUGAACCGACGGCUGGGCUGGAUCCUCUGUCCAGACACCGAGUGUGGAAUCUCCUGAAAGAGAGGAGGUCAGGCAGAGUGAUCCUCUUCAGCACCCAGUUCAUGGAUGAGGCUGACAUCCUGGCUGACAGGAAGGUGUUCAUAUCUGCUGGGAAGCUGAAGUGUGUGGGCUCUUCUCUGUUCCUGAAGAAGAAAUGGGGUAUUGGGUACCAUUUAAGUUUGCAUCUGAAUGAAAUGUGUGAACCAGAGAGGAUAACAUCACUGGUUAAACAGCACAUCCCUGAUGCCAAAUUAGCAGCACAAAGUGAAGAAAAACUUGUGUAUAUUUUGCCUGUAAGGAGGACAAACAAAUUUCCAGACCUUUGCAGGGAUCUUGAUAAAUGUUCUAAUCAAGGCAUUGAGAACUAUGAUGUUUCCAUGACAACGUUGAAUGAGGUGUUCCUGAAAUUAGAAGGAAAAUCAACACUUGAUGAAUCAGAUCUAGGAAUCUUGGAACAAUUACAAAGUGAUGGUGCAAAAGACACAGGAACCCUUGUUGAGCUGGAGCAAGUUUUGUCGUCUCUCAGAGAAGUCAGGGAAACCAUCAGCGGCAUGGCUCUAUGGAGGCAGCAGGUCUGCGCAAUGGCAAAAGUCCGCUUCCUAAAGUUAAAGAAUGAAAGAAAAAGCCUGUGGACUAUAUUACUGCUUUUGGGGAUUAGUCUUAUCCCUCAAUUUGUGGAAUAUGUAUUCUAUGAGGUAUAUCAAAAAAGUUACUCUUGGGAACUCUCUCCGAAUAUGUACUUCCUCUCACCAGGACAACCACCACAAGCUCCUCUGACCCAUCUACUGGUCGUCAAUAAAACAGGGUCAAGCAUAGAUGACUUCAUACAUUCACUGAGGCAGCAGAACAUAGCUUUAGAAGUGGAUGCUUUUGGGACUAGAAACGGCACAGAUCAGCCUUCAUACAACGGUGCUAUCAUUGUGUCAGGGGAUGGAAAGGAUCACAGAUUUUCAAUAGCUUGUAAUACAAAAAGGCUCAAUUGCUUUCCUGUCCUCAUGGAUGUCCUUAGUAAUGGGCUGCUUAGAAUUUUUAAUUCUUCAGAACACAUCCAGACUGAAGGAAGUUUAUUGUUUGUGAUAAAAGCUCGUUCCCAGCUGCGGGUUUCGGGCCUCUACGCCUCUGCUUACUGGUGUGGACAGGCGCUGGUGGACGUUCUCCUGCACUUCCUGAUCCUCCUUCUAAUGCACACGAUGGAUUACGUCUUCAACCCAGAAGAGAUUGCAUUGAUAAUUCAAAACUUGUUCAUUCACAUCUUGUGUAGUAUUGGCUAUGUCUCAUCUCUUGUUUUCUUGACAUAUGUGAUUUCAUUCAUUUCUCGCGAUGGGAGAAAAAAUAGUGGCACCUGGUCAUUUUUCUUCUUAAUUGCCACCAUCUUUGCGAUACUUACUGUUGAAAUGAAUCACAAUGGAUUUCUAGUAAUACUUUUCAGCACCGUAUUAAUACCGCCAUUCACAAUGCUUGGCUGUCUAUACAUUUUUUUUGAGGUUUCUCCUAACUCCAGGGAUUACUUGGGAGAGUCAGAGUCUCAAAUAGUAUACCUGGCACCGCUCCUGCCUUAUCUUCAGUUUUUCCUUUUCUUCUUCAUUCUGCGAUGUCUAGAAAAAAACUUCAGAAAGGGAGGAAUGAGAAAUGACCCUGUGUUCAGAAUUUCUCCAAGAAGUAGUGAUGUUUUCCCAAACCCAGAAGAACCAGAAGUGGAGGAUGAAGAUGUUCAGAUGGAAAGAACCAGGACAGAGAACGCUGUGACUGUCACAGACACGGAUGAGAAACCAGUCAUCAUUGCCAGCUGCCUGCGGAAGGAAUAUGCAGGCAAAAAGAAAAAUUGCUUUUCCAAAAGGAAGAAAAAAAUCGCCACAAGGAAUGUCUCUUUCUGUGUUAAAAAAGGUGAAGUUAUAGGGUUGUUAGGACACAAUGGAGCUGGGAAAAGUACAGUGAUUAAGAUGAUCUCUGGAGACACAAAACCAACCGCAGGGCAGGUGCUGUUGAAAGGGAGCGGCAGAGGAGACCCCCUGGGCGUCCUGGGGUCCUGUCCUCAGGAGAACGCGCUGUGGCCCAGCCUGACCGCCGGGGAGCACCUGGAGGCCUACGCCGCCGUGAAGGGGCUGCGGAGAGGGGACGCGGAGAUCGCCGGCUCAUGGUUGGCUGAUGCGCUCAAGCUGCAGGACCAUCUGAAGGCCCCGGUGGAGACCUUAUCGGAGGGAAUAAAGAGAAAGGUAGGGCCGGGGCUCGGGGCUGCUCUGUGCACCCGCAGACCGUGCCGGACGCGCUCUCCCUCCCCUUCCAUCUGGGCUUCGCCCUGAGCGUACUGGGGGACCCGCCGGUGGUGCUGCUGGACGAGCCGUCCACAGGGAUGGAUCCUGAGGGGCAACAACAAAUGUGGUGAGCAGUAUCACGAGUGACUUCUGCACGGAUUUAUACCCUCUGACAGUGGCCUUCACGGUCGCCCUUUACCUGGAAAGGGAAAGACCCCGCGUCACCAGGAAGGGCAAGAUUGAGAGAAAAAAUCACCUAAUGUCAUAGCACAGCCAGUCUUUACUGAGCAGAGAAAGGCGUGUUCCCUCACUGCAUAAACAUUCUAAGAAUUUUGUUUUUUCUUAGAUCUGUUAGGUCUGCAUGGAACACUUUUAUGCUCCGUCAAAUCAAUCUCUUAUGACAAUUUAAAUUUUUCUAUAGCAUUAUCUGAUACACAAUUCUUACAGUGGAAAUAAAGAAACAUUCCCAGUCUUCCUGAAUUCUGCUGUUUGGUACCUGUUGGGUAUAUUUUUUGAUUAUUGUGCAUUUUAGUCAGUCUUUCUUCUCACUGCCUUCUCCUAAGUGUCCCCUAACUUACCAUUUUUCUAAACAACAUUUUACUCAGUACCAUUCCCUAUAAUCGAACCAAGCCACGUUCUGAAUUACACACUCUAACUAGCAGUCUGGUUGUUUUCCAUGCCUGUCCAAAAACUCCCUUCUUUGUCUAAUCUCACUUCUUCCUUCAUAUGAGUGUCGGUGGAAACUUCUUUUUAAAAGUUCCACAAUACCUUAAAUGUUCCUUAAAUUAGUUAACAUUUCCCUCCACUGACAUUCAGGCAGGUGAUCCGGGCCGUGUGCAGGAACACGGACAGGGGCGUCCUCCUGACCACCCAGUACAUGGCCGAGGCCGAGGCCGUGUGUGACCAAGUGGCCAUCAUGGUGUCGGGGAGGCUGAGGUUCAUCGGUUCCAUCCAACACCUGAAGA
This is an RNA transcript of Nycticebus coucang (slow loris), 5383 nucleotides long. It is a transcript of the gene named ATP binding cassette subfamily A member 9, with no coding region annotated. The transcript is spliced from 32 exons. Lineage: Eukaryota; Metazoa; Chordata; Mammalia; Primates; Lorisidae. The record is from RefSeq and is a predicted model, not a curated record.